AUUCUUGCGCAUGGACUAUACAACAGGGCGUGACCGAUAAGGGAUCCGUUGUUUUUGCUUUUUGCAAACUUUUCCAUAACUCCACUUGACGACAUUUGUCGGCAAGUAAUUUUUGUUCUUUUUUUUAUCAACAAAAA
The sequence is a small nuclear RNA, 137 nucleotides long. It matches the Rfam family "U4 spliceosomal RNA". From Rfam's summary of the family: U4 small nuclear RNA (U4 snRNA) is a component of the major U2-dependent spliceosome. The structure of U4 snRNA from yeast and human has been reported. The record is from Rfam.